This 253-nucleotide ribosomal RNA is filed under the name uncultured bacterium. RNAcentral describes it as "partial 16S ribosomal RNA". It matches the Rfam family "Bacterial small subunit ribosomal RNA", at positions 524 to 776 of the family's 1533-position model. The record is from RNAcentral.
UACGGGGGGGGCUAGCGUUAUUCGGAAUCAUUGGGCGUAAAGGGCGCGUAGGCGGUCUUUUAAGUCAGAUUUGAAAGCCCUCGGUUUAACCGAGGAAGUGCAUUUGAUACUAAGAGACUUGAGUAUGGGAGAGGGAAGCGGAAUUCCUGGUGUAGCGGUGAAAUGCGUAGAUAUCAGGAGGAACACCGGUGGCGAAGGCGGCUUCCUGGACCAAUACUGACGCUGAGUCGCGAAGGCGCGGAGCGAAAACAGG